RNAcentral lists this transfer RNA (72 nucleotides) under Ornithorhynchus anatinus (platypus). It matches the Rfam family "tRNA". Rfam says of the family: Transfer RNA (tRNA) molecules are approximately 80 nucleotides in length. Their secondary structure includes four short double-helical elements and three loops (D, anti-codon, and T loops). Lineage: Eukaryota; Metazoa; Chordata; Mammalia; Monotremata; Ornithorhynchidae. The record is from Rfam by way of RNAcentral.
AGCAGCAUGGCUUAAUGGAAAGAGCACGAACUUGAGAGUCAGAGGUCGUGGGUUCUAAUCCCAUUUCUGCCA